GGGAUCGAACCCAGGCCCCCUGCAUUGUGAGCUCAAGUCUUCCCCACUGGACCACCAGGGAGGUCCCUGUUCUGUGCUCCCUUUAGUCUUGACUCUCAUGUAUUCAUUUUUGGUGUUAAACAAAUCACAGUUUUUAAAAGCUUUAAUCUUCAUUUCCUCAUGGAAAACUUAGUAUUCAUGAUACCUACUCCCAGGAUUGUUGUGAGAAGAAAAUUAGAUUAAAAUAGGAAAAGGCAGUUUUAAAGCUGAAACAUUACAAAUUUUAGGUAUUGUUGUUUUGAUUGCAGUUAUUUCAUGUCCAAAUUGAGAAAGCUUUGUGAUUGUUGACAUAAUGAUAUCAUCCAGGAGUUUGGAAUAAGUGUGUACAUCAGCGGAUUUUAUGAUUACAAAAAAUAGCUAUGUUUACUUUUCUACUAAUUCUCCUUCAGUGGAAUGUUCCCAUUUUCUCAUGAAGUGGGGGGAGAUCCACAUAUGUUUAUUAAAGAAAGCAAGCCUCGUAUUUUUUAUCCUUUGAACCGAGAGGCUACAUGUUAUUCAUUGUUUUUGAGUCAGGCUACCUGGGUAAAUUCCCAAUCCUCUACCUACUUGCAACCAUGGAUAAACCUCAGUUUCCUCAUAUGUAAAAUAGGGGUGGUAAUAAUACAGAUUCGUAUGAAGAUGAAAUGGGAAAUGUAUGUAUAGAAUACAUAGCAGAGUGCCUGGCGCAGAGUAAGCAUUCAGUAAUGUGGGCUGUUGUUGUGACUAUCAUUAUUAAACUGCAGCAUGAAGAAGAGGCAAAAAGGUUGUGUGUGAAAGUCAAGGGCAGGAGGGAAUAAAAAGACAAGGGGGACAGCUUUGAAAAUGGUCUGAUCAUCCUGCAAAUGACAAUCCAAGCAAUUCCCACGACUUUUGAAAAUCAAAGACUUCCCUGUUGCUUCCAAUGAGAAAAUGAACCAUAGUCAUUUGUAAUGUCCAUGUUCCUGUAACAAUCAAAAUCACAGUCUUGCUUGAAAGUUACAUGUCUUCCCUUUCCCAGCAUGAGCACGCAGAAGGCAAAGAGCUGUAGGAAAUGGGAGUCCUCGCCUCUCUCUCUCUCUCUCUCUCCCUCUCCCUCCUUCCCUUUCCCUCUCCUUCUCCCCCCACCCCUCUCUCUCUGAAGUGCUCCUACUUCUUCUCUAUCUUGGUAACUGAAGUUUCUUGCUGCUCUAGGGUUAGAGCUCAUAGCAGAGAAAAGGUUGGGGAGAUAAGAAAGUUCUUACUUGACAAGGACUGUUGAUGAUCCAGUACUUAAAACUGGCCCUCUCCAUUUGGUCUGUGUUUAAAACUGGCCCUUCUUCUAGCAGGUGCUUCUUUGUUUCCCAGAGCUCCCUUGACCUGCAGAAGUGCAUUUGUAUUUGGUCAUCCACAGUCUCAAGGAGUCAUUCUGAAGUACACCCCUUGCUGCUUUUUGCUCUGAUACCUACUUUCCAGCGGAUGAUCCUGAACAGGAUCUAAGACAGCUAGCGCUAUCUUGCAUGGCUCAGAUCUGGUCCAAGGGAAAUACUUUACCUUCAAAAGCUCAGAGGGUAAUGAGGAUACAAUUUUCAAUCCCUGGGUAGCCCUUUGAAGCUCUUUGCCUUACACUUGCGGUAAGCAAACAACCCCAUAGAUCUUCUGGUCAGAUUCACACAGCAUGCUGGCAACUUGCUCCAAAAACUUUCAUCUUCAAAAAUCUCCAACUCUUUUUGCCUCUGACAUGGAUAAAUGGUUAUAUCUUAACCUGCAUAACCUGCCUGGCAUGCUUCCUUUGAAAAUGUUGCUUUAUACCGUUGUAUUUCCCUUUGGAAUGUGGUGUCUAGUGUUCAGUACUUGAGUCAAAACUUGCACUUUAAUUCAAGGUAAAAGGGGGAGAGGACCGCUUUGGGGAUGCUUUGAUUUCACAGACCAUCACCCCAAAGUUGGUGGUGCUGCAGAGGAAAAUAUGGUUUACGCAUGCAGGUGUUAUUGGGAGCCUCAUGAAUGCCCACCCUAAUCACAAAGUAAAGAUGUAACGGUAUAACUUUUUAAAAUGUGAAAACACACAUAAAUGUGUACAGAUAUAUACAACUCUGAGCUCAUGCCAAAAAUGUGUGUGACUGCCUUGUGAUAGCUUUGGAGCGGGUGAUGUGCUCCAAAGAGAUGAAAAUACCUGGAAAGAUUUUGUGGACCAGUCAACUCUGAGCCAACUUGAGGAUAUGGAGGCAAGAGUCCAAAAGGAAAAGAGAGAGAGAGAGAGAGAGAGAGAUGGAUUCUUCUAAAUUUUGUGCAACACUCAUGUAAAUAGGAGCUAGCAUUUAAACACAUAGCAUGGUGCACCAAGGUUGGUGAAAAGACGGUGUACCGGUAGGUCUGAAAAUGGGGGAAGUGUGUAAUAAGUGCUACAUUAGAUGAAGCAAGGUUUAAAAGGGUGUUACUGAAUUGGAAGCAUCAAAAUGGACUUAUGACUUUAAAAAGCCCCCCUCUAAAGCUGAAAGAGUAGAAGCGGUCCCUGGUAUCACACUACCUACAGCCACAAGGUAUGUGGGAAAAUCUAAUAUAUCCUCUAGGCGCUGGGUUUUGAUGUCUUCUGCUCUUCUCACGGAAAGGAACUCAGAGGAUAACUGGUACCAGAUCUUGGGAAAAUAUUGAAAGGAGCUAAGAAUGGGAAGGCAUAGCUAAGAAAUGUUUGCCAAAGAAGAGGAAUUGUGAUACUUCCUACCAGAUGUGAGAAUGUAUUAUGAAGCUUGAGUAAUUAAAAGUGUGGUUCCCCAGCAGACUUUUCCAAGAAGGGAUACGCCGCCCCAAUGCAGAUCACACUAAAUUAGAACAUAGUGUGUAGAACCGGAAGUAUUAAAAACCAAUGUGAAAGGGGAAACUAGAUUUUUAGAGGAAAGUUGGGUUAAAAACCUCACCUUGCAUACUAUAUCAAAAUACAUUUUAAAGCUGAAACAUAAGGGAAAGAAGAACAUGGAGGUGAAUUUAGCUUAUUUUUUUCUAAGUAAAGGACUCUCUAAGCCUAAAAAGAUACAGGGUAAGUCACAAAGGAAAAAUAUGUGUAUUUGGCUGCAGAAAAUUAAGUACUUUUGUGUCAUAAGAUAUUAUCAACCAAAUUAAAUGGAAAAUGUGGAACUGGGAAGUGUUUUUGCAAUACAUGUGGCUGAUAGCUUUAGAACUAACAACAAAAAUCACAUUUGUGAUAAUUCAAUAAGAAACACAUAUUAACCCAGUAGAAAAAGGACAAAUGUCACAAAUAAUUGACAAAAGAAAAAAUUACAGGUGACUAAUAAACAUAUACUUAACCCUAAACGUAUAAAAAUUUAGGUUUUUAUGUUAAUCAAAAAAAGGGAAAAUAAAAAGGCCCUACUCAUUUGUGACCUACGAGAUUGACAAAGGUUACAAAUGGCAACACUUCGUAAGGAUACAGCAGGAGAGCAUUCCAGCCACUGCUGAUGGGAAUAUGGGCUCUGCAGUCUUUUUUGGAGAUGACUUUUGACCAUCUGCAUAAAGGACUUAGGUCAUAAUUAUAAACUUUUUACCCAGUAACCCCAUAUUAGACUCGAUCUGGUAAACAUAAUAAGAGAAUAUUUGAAUAUUAAUAUGCAAGAAUAUACAUUACACUCACUAUUGAUGUGAAAAACUAAAACCUCUUAAGUGUUCAAUACUGAGAGAACAGAAAAAUAAAUUAUUGUUUAUGUACUUAUGUAUUGUUAAGGCAGGAAAGAUGUUCAGUAAAGUGUUAAAACUGGUUGUGUUUUAGGGGUAAGGAUGGAAUCAAGUUUUAUAGAAGGAUGUAUCUUUUUUUCCUUUUUAUACUUUUGUAAUUUGUUUUACCUCUCAAAAUUAGUGUGUAUUAUUUCUAAAAUUUCUAAAAUUCAUAAAAAAUGUAUAUCUUUUUAUAUAUAUAAUGAAGUGCAGAAUUGGUAAUGAUAAAACGUUAGGUGAAAAAAAUCAGGGUAUAAAAUACAUAUGCGAGGGGCUUCCCUGGUGGUGCGGUGGUUAAGAAUCUGCCUGCCAGUGCAGGGCACACGGGUUCGAGCCCUGGUCUGGGAAGAUCCCACA
This is a long non-coding RNA of Aethalodelphis obliquidens (Pacific white-sided dolphin), 4035 nucleotides long. RefSeq lists it as uncharacterized. The record is from RefSeq and is a predicted model, not a curated record. NCBI's taxonomy places the organism in Eukaryota, Metazoa, Chordata, Mammalia, Artiodactyla, Delphinidae. The transcript is spliced from 3 exons.